This 292-nucleotide ribosomal RNA is filed under the name uncultured bacterium. RNAcentral's name for it is "partial 16S ribosomal RNA". It matches the Rfam family "Bacterial small subunit ribosomal RNA", at positions 505 to 796 of the family's 1533-position model. The record is from RNAcentral.
GUGUCAGCAGCCGCGGUAAGACGUAGGGGGCGAGCGUUGUCCGGAUUUAUUGGGCGUAAAGAGCGCGUAGGCGGCUCGUUAAGUCGGGUGUGAAAACCCGGGGCUCAACCCCGGGCCUGCAUUCGAUACUGGCGGGCUAGAGGCUGACAUAGGAGAGCGGAAUUCCUGGUGUAGCGGUGAAAUGCGCAGAUAUCAGGAGGAACGCCGGUGGCGAAAGCGACGCACUGGAUCUCUACUGACGCUGAGGCGCGAAAGCUAGGGGAGCGAACGGGAUUAGAUACCCCAGUAGUCC